RNAcentral lists this ribosomal RNA (722 nucleotides) under uncultured fungus. RNAcentral's name for it is "SSU rRNA". It matches the Rfam family "Eukaryotic small subunit ribosomal RNA", at positions 827 to 1570 of the family's 1831-position model. Lineage: Eukaryota; Fungi. The record is from RNAcentral.
CGCGCGGUUCUAUUUUGUUGAUUUCUAGGACCGCCGUAAUGAUUAAUAGGGACAGUCGGGGGCAUCCGUAUUCAAUUGUCAGAGGUGAAAUUCUUGGAUUUAUUGAAGACGAACUACUGCGAAGGCAUUUGCCAAGGAUGUUUUCAUUAAUCAGUGAACGAAAGUUAGGGGAUCGAAGACGAUCAGAUACCGUCGUAGUCUUAACCAUAAACUAUGCCGACUAGGGAUCGGUGGGUGUUAUUAUUUUGACCCCAUCGGCACCUUACGAGAAAUCAAAGUUUUUGGGUUCUGGGGAGAGUAUGGUCGCAAGGCUGAAACUUAAAGAAAUUGACGGAAGGGCACCACCAGGCGUGGAGCCUGCGGCUUAAUUUGACUCAGCACGGGGAAACUCACCAGGUCCAGACACAAGUAGGAUUGACAGAUUGAGAGCUCUUUCUUGAUUUUGUGGGUGGUGGUGCAUGGCCGUUCUUAGUUGGUGGAGUGAUUUGUCUGCUUAAUUGCGAUAACGAACGAGACCUUAACCUGCUAAAUAGCCCGGCCCGCUUCGGCGGGUCGCCGGCUUCUUAGAGGGACUAUCGGCUCAAGCCGAUGGAAGUUUGAGGCAAUAACAGGUCUGUGAUGCCCUUAUAUGUUCUGGGCCGCACGCGCGCUACACUGACAGAGCCAACGAGUUCAUCACCUUGGCCGGAAGGUCUGGGUAAUCUUGUUAAACUCUGUCGUGC